Molecule: ribosomal RNA, 497 nt
Filed under: uncultured bacterium
Lineage: Bacteria
Description: partial 16S ribosomal RNA
Rfam family: Bacterial small subunit ribosomal RNA
Source: RNAcentral
GACGAACGCUGGCGGCGUGCCUAAUACAUGCAAGUUGAGCGCUGAAGGUUGGUACUUGUACCGACUGGAUGAGCAGCGAACGGGUGAGUAACGCGUGGGGAAUCUGCCUUUGAGCGGGGGACAACAUUUGGAAACGAAUGCUAAUACCGCAUAAAAACUUUAAACACAAGUUUUAAGUUUGAAAGAUGCAAUUGCAUCACUCAAAGAUGAUCCCGCGUUGUAUUAGCUAGUUGGUGAGGUAAAGGCUCACCAAGGCGAUGAUACAUAGCCGACCUGAGAGGGUGAUCGGCCACAUUGGGACUGAGACACGGCCCAAACUCCUACGGGAGGCAGCAGUAGGGAAUCUUCGGCAAUGGACGAAAGUCUGACCGAGCAACGCCGCGUGAGUGAAGAAGGUUUUCGGAUCGUAAAACUCUGUUGGUAGAGAAGAACGUUGGUGAGAGUGGAAAGCACAUCAAGUGACGGUAACUACCCAGAAAGGGACGGCUAACUACGUG